Molecule: long non-coding RNA, 242 nt
Filed under: Sorghum bicolor (sorghum)
Lineage: Eukaryota; Viridiplantae; Streptophyta; Magnoliopsida; Poales; Poaceae
Description: long non-coding RNA (SBIC_LNC015575)
Source: RNAcentral
AUUAGGCGGGCACAACAGUGAUCUUCUUUUUGACGUAUGUUCCUUGGUCAUGAUCUUGACGUAACCAUGGAGUGUCCUCAGCAUUUAUCAGUAUGCUUGGAUCUUUGGUCACAUUGAAAGGCGUGAUUCGGUCAUCUCUUUCAUAAUCUUCUAAAAUAUCUGACUUGUCCUCAAUUCCCACAAUGUUUCUUUUCCCUGAGAGAACUAUAUGGCGUUUUGGCUCGUUUGUUGAUUUGUUGUCA